Molecule: ribosomal RNA, 532 nt
Filed under: uncultured bacterium
Lineage: Bacteria
Description: partial 16S ribosomal RNA
Rfam family: Bacterial small subunit ribosomal RNA
Source: RNAcentral
AGUGAACGCUGGCGGUAGGCCUAACACAUGCAAGUCGAACGGCAGCACAGUAAGAGCUUGCUCUUACGGGUGGCGAGUGGCGGACGGGUGAGGAAUACAUCGGAAUCUACUUUUUCGUGGGGGAUAACGUAGGGAAACUUACGCUAAUACCGCAUACGACCUACGGGUGAAAGCAGGGGAUCUUCGGACCUUGCGCGAUUGAAUGAGCCGAUGUCGGAUUAGCUAGUUGGCGGGGUAAAGGCCCACCAAGGCGACGAUCCGUAGCUGGUCUGAGAGGAUGGUAAGCCAAAGUGAAGUAGAGCACCGAGCAAGGCUCCGACGGGAGGAAUGAGUGGGGAAGAGAGGACAAGGAGCUCCGGCCUGAGCCAGCGACACCGCGUGGGGGAAGAAGGCCUGCGGGUUGUAAAGCCUUUUUGUUAGAAAAGAAAAGCAGCGGGUUAACCCCCCGCUUUUCUGACGGUACACAAAGAAUAAGCACCGGAUAACUUGGUGCCAGCAGCCGCGGUAAUAAGCGAAGGACCACUUGUUGAAC